UAAGAGGUCCAGCCUGCCCAGUGAUUAACGGCCGCGGUAUCCUAACCGUGCGAAGGUAGCAUAAUCACUUGUUCUUUAAUUAAGGACUCGUAUCAACGGCAUCACGAGGGUUGUACUGUCUCCUUUCUCCAAUCAGUGAAACUGUGAAAAAGCGGGGAUACACCAAUAAGACGAGAAGACCCCAUGGAGCUUUAAAAGUUUUUGGUUGGGGCGACCGCGGAGUAAAAACCACCCUCCUAUCUAAGAGCCACCGCUCGAAUUAGAACACUAAUGACCCGAUCAACGAAUCAAGUUACCCUGGGGAUAACAGCGCCAUCUACUUCAAGAGUACAUAUCGACAAGUGGGCUUACGACCUCGAUGUUGGAUCAGGUAACCAAGUGGCGCCUAGUUGU
Molecule: ribosomal RNA, 393 nt
Filed under: Rhacophorus lateralis (small tree frog)
Lineage: Eukaryota; Metazoa; Chordata; Amphibia; Anura; Rhacophoridae
Description: partial 16S ribosomal RNA
Rfam family: Bacterial large subunit ribosomal RNA
Source: RNAcentral